UGUCCUGGGAUGGGAAUCGAACCCACAAUGUUCCGCUUACCGAGCAGAUGCCAUGUCCACUAGGCUACUUUGGAC
RNAcentral lists this transfer RNA (75 nucleotides) under Cordylochernes scorpioides. RNAcentral describes it as "tRNA-Thr". Lineage: Eukaryota; Metazoa; Arthropoda; Arachnida; Pseudoscorpiones; Chernetidae. The record is from RNAcentral.